RNAcentral lists this ribosomal RNA (500 nucleotides) under uncultured bacterium. Its description in RNAcentral is "partial 16S ribosomal RNA". It matches the Rfam family "Bacterial small subunit ribosomal RNA", at positions 28 to 507 of the family's 1533-position model. The record is from RNAcentral.
GAUGAACGCUGGCGGCGUGCCUAAUACAUGCAAGUCGAGCGGACUUUCCGGAGUCCUUCUACUCUGGUGGGUUCGCCGCGCACGGGAGUGACACAUGUAUGACACCUGUAUAUAACUCGGGGAUCUUAUUCGAAACCUAGCGCUUAUACCGGAAUAACUGGCUCCUCGUAUGUGGGGAGUGGGAGACGCGCAGCAUUCUGCUGCUAAUGGAAGCCCCCGUGCGGCAUUAGCUAGGUGGUGGGGUAACGGCCUACCAAGGCGACGAUGCGUAGCCGACCUGAGAGGGUGAUCGGCCACACUGGGACUGAGACACGGUCCAGACUCCUACGGGAGGCAGCAGUAGGGAAUCUUCCGCAAUGGGCGCAAGUCUGACGGAGCAACGCCGCGUGAGUGAGGAAGGCCUUCGGGUCGUAAAACUCUGUUACCAGGGAAGAACGGGCGUGGGAGUAACUGCCCUUGCCAUGACGGUACCUAAGCAGAAAGCCCCGGCUAACUACGUG